This 286-nucleotide unclassified non-coding RNA is filed under the name air metagenome. RNAcentral's name for it is "partial contains small subunit ribosomal RNA, internal transcribed spacer 1, and 5.8S ribosomal RNA". The stretch from base 1 to 46 matches the Rfam family "Eukaryotic small subunit ribosomal RNA", at positions 1786 to 1831 of the family's 1831-position model. The record is from RNAcentral.
AAGUCGUAACAAGGUUUCCGUAGGUGAACCUGCGGAAGGAUCAUUAAUGAAUUUAAUUGACGGGGUUGUCGCUGGCCUUUCUGGCAAUGUGCACGCCUUGCUCAAAUUAAUCCAUCUCAUACCUCUGUGCACUCUUCAUAGACUGGCUUAAUUUAAAGGGUUGUUGCUUCGGUGAUGAUCUGGGUCUUUCUGUGCAUUUAAUACCAACUUCAUUGUCUUUGAAUGUCUCUAUUGCGAAUUUAUAACGCAUUAUAAACAACUUUCAGCAACGGAUCUCUUGGCUCUC